UAAAGUACUCCUCUCCGAAAAGGAUGAUGAAGGACAUUGGGAGCGCGACCUUAAUACCACCAUCAGAACCUUAUCGGCUUGGAACGAUCCACAACAAAUUCAGUAAGGCAGGUGUCUUGCACCCUAGGAUCAAAGUGGCUGCUUUUAUUUGCUAGAAAGUGUCUCCUGUAGUAAGAUAUUGAAGCAAUCUUUUUGCAACCUGUGCUCUAAUAGUGUUCUAGUGCAUGGUGUUGAUGCCUCUCGACAUGGAACCUUUGUGCCGACAUGUGGUAUUCACAAUGGGUAGGUGCUUCAUUGAAUAUCUCAUUCUUUUUCUAGUUUGGGAUGUCCUCUCUAUGUCAUUUCCUUGAUAAUGGUACUGGUGUAGCAUAAUGUUUGAGCAAAUAAUCAAUCGAAUGAGGGGGUGCUCUAUCCUUUAUCGAAUGUGUAGGAAUUUUGAAUGAGUGUUGGCUUUUAGGCAGCCUCAUUUAGCAUCAAGAAGUUUCUUUGAAGUUUGGAUGACGACAACAGUGGCUAUACACUGACCAAAAUGGAAAAGAAGUCCAAGAAUCCAAAUAAGCAUGUGUCCUUUGGGGCAACAGACCAUAGCCUACGUGGAGCCAUUCACGCAAGAUGUUUUCAUCUCCAAGCAAUUUGUCUCGGCUCGCUCGCUCACAGGGUCGCAUGCAAGCAGGUUGCUAUUGUGGGUACCAAUUCUGAGGACAUCAGAGCUUACUGAAGUCUCAGUUGGACAUACUAGCAUGUUUGGCCUUAGGCCAUAUUUUGGCAGACCAGGCGGGGGAAGCUGAUGUGUACUCUGCUUCCUACACUCCAAGAGAGAGGGACAAGUUUGAAGGAAAAAUCGAAGCAGUAGUUCAGUCUCUAAUUGACAGUGGUAUUGAUAUUUAAGUUUAUCUUGACUGAUUUUCCCUCCUUGAGCAUGAUCUUGAUUGUGUGCACAACUCCUAGUAGGAAUAUACUGACAUCUUUGAUAUUGUUUUGAGAAUACGCAGGAUGUAGUGUUGGUUCAUUUGCUGGUUUAAUAUAGAUAAUAGCGACUGUUUGUUUGACA
Eucalyptus grandis is the source of this 1051-nucleotide long non-coding RNA. RefSeq lists it as uncharacterized. NCBI's taxonomy places the organism in Eukaryota, Viridiplantae, Streptophyta, Magnoliopsida, Myrtales, Myrtaceae. The transcript is spliced from 2 exons. The record is from RefSeq and is a predicted model, not a curated record.